GGGGCAUUCCGAUGAGUGUAUUU
Molecule: microRNA, 23 nt
Filed under: Pteropus alecto (black flying fox)
Lineage: Eukaryota; Metazoa; Chordata; Mammalia; Chiroptera; Pteropodidae
Description: pal-miR-10011-5p
Source: miRBase by way of RNAcentral